GGAGCUUGCUCCUGGGCGUCGAGCGGCGGACGGGUGAGUAAAGCGUAGGAAUCUGCCCAACGGUGGGGGAUAACCCGGGGAAACUCGGGCUAAUACCGCAUAAUCCUUACGAGGCAAAGCGGAGGACCCUUCGGGGCUUCGCGCCGAUGGAUGAGCCUACGUCUGAUUAGCUUGUUGGUGGGGUAAUGGCCUACCAAGGCGACGAUCAGUAGCUGGUCUGAGAGGAUGAUCAGCCACACCGGGACUGAGACACGGCCCGGACUCCUACGGGAGGCAGCAGUGGGGAAUCUUGGACAAUGGGCGAAAGCCUGAUCCAGCCAUGCCGCGUGUGUGAAGAAGGCCCUAGGGUUGUAAAGCACUUUAAGCAGGGAAGAAAAAGCCCGGGUUAAUACCCCGAGGCCUUGACGGUACCUGCAGAAUAAGCACCGGCUGAUUCCGUGCCAGCAGCCGCGGUAAUACGGAAGGUGCGAGCGUUAAUCGGAAUUACUGGGCGUAAAGCGUGCGUAGGCGGCCCUGUGUGUCGGAUGUGAAAGCCCCGGGCUUAACCUGGGAAUUGCAUUCGAAACUGCAGAGCUCGAGUGUGGUAGAGGAAGAUGGAAUUCCACGUGUAGCGGUGAAAUGCGUAGAUAUGUGGAGGAACACCAAUGGCGAAGGCAGUCUUCUGGGCCAACACUGACGCUGAGGCACGAAAGCGUGGGUAGCGAA
This 705-nucleotide ribosomal RNA is filed under the name uncultured Pseudomonadota bacterium. Its description in RNAcentral is "bacterial SSU rRNA". It matches the Rfam family "Bacterial small subunit ribosomal RNA", at positions 75 to 772 of the family's 1533-position model. The record is from RNAcentral. Lineage: Bacteria; Pseudomonadati; Pseudomonadota.